Molecule: ribosomal RNA, 389 nt
Filed under: uncultured bacterium
Lineage: Bacteria
Description: bacterial SSU rRNA
Rfam family: Bacterial small subunit ribosomal RNA
Source: RNAcentral
AAUCAACGCUGGCGGCGUGCCUCAGACAUGCAAGUCGAACGCGAAAUUUCCCUUCGGGGAGAAAGUAGAGUGGCGCACGGGUGAGUAACACGUGGGUAAUUUACCUUCGGGUGGGAAGUAACAGUCGGAAACGACUGCUAAUACCGCAUGAUGCAGCGGCACCACAUGGUGACAGUUGUUAAAGCGGGGGAUCGCAAGACCUCGCGCCUGAAGAGAAGCCCGCGGCAGAUUAGCUAGUUGGUAAGGUAAUGGCUUACCAAGGCGACGAUCUGUAGCCGGCCUGAGAGGGCGGUCGGCCACACUGACACUGAAUAACGGGUCAGACUCCUACGGGAGGCAGCAGUCGGGAAUUUUGGGCAAUGGGCGAAAGCCUGACCCAGCAACGCCGC